Anopheles funestus (African malaria mosquito) is the source of this 1874-nucleotide long non-coding RNA. RefSeq lists it as uncharacterized. NCBI's taxonomy places the organism in Eukaryota, Metazoa, Arthropoda, Insecta, Diptera, Culicidae. The transcript has 2 exons. The record is from RefSeq and is a predicted model, not a curated record.
UGGUGGAGAAGAGAGUUAAAUUAAGAGUUUUUAGCUACGGAUAAAUGAUGAGCGAGACUAUAAAUCUUAACGAAUUCAUGGCAAAAGAUGUUAAUGCACGGAAGUUUCGGUCAUUCGAUCCAAUUAGCCAAGUAGUCAAAUCUGGUAUCGAAUGAAACGUUUAGGAACCGAAUGAUCAUAUUAUUAUCCAAUCUAAUACCUAGGUCAGCCGAUUCAGGGACGUGAUCGUAUCGUAAACUAACAAUAGACACCACUUUUUGGUCUUUGUUCCUUUUUUUUAUUUGAAAAUUUUUGUUCUUCGUUUUGAGCCUCAUCAACGCUUGGAGGUUUCUACCGCACAUCAAGAAUUGAAGUUCUCAGUGAUCGUAGUAGUCAGGUACGAGGAGCAGCAUUUGAUUAGUUAUAAAUACACAACAUUCUAACCAUAACUGCAUCGUCGUCCCAUUUCUUGACCCAUUUUUAUGUUUUUUUUUGUCCAAACAAAAGCUUAACCGUACGGACGGGGUACUGUGGUGUGGAAAAACCGGAAGCCGGCUGUCGUUUGCCAUUAUGCGGCACACGACGUUUUCGGGGCGCACGUUCGAUUUCACGGUCCGUUUAGUUCACGUUCAGCUUUAAACCCAGCGACUGCUGCUGCAGCAACACCUGCCUGCAGUCGAUGAUUUAUUACGGUCAAUUUCACCUGCUGUCGCCGCUACUGCCUUAGUGAGGAGUUACAGAAUUAUUACACAGAACGAAGCAUAAUAUCGCACCAACCCUAGUGCGCGGACAUGCCCCCAGCCAAUGCCUAGCUGCGCCAAAAAAAAACACGAAAUGAACAAAAGCUCACUGCGAAUUGCAAAACCGUGUCUUAAGGAAGGGGAAGGUGGCCGAAGGUGGCAAUCAUAUACGCGGCUACAUUUUGACGUAGCGCCACAAGAGUACAAGAGUUGGAAGCUUUCGUAAGGCACAGUUGAGCAGCACCCCAGGCACGUCCGUUCCGUGGCGUGCGAGGGCUCUGCUGUUGGUGGAUCGUUUUUUUUCUUCUUCUGUGCAAUAAAAAAACUGACACUUUUCAUAGCUUUUUAUAACGUCUGAAAAAGGCUUUACGCUUUGUUCAUAAUGGAUUUUGGUUCGCUGAGCAAAAUUUUAAUGCUCCACACGGUGUUAUCGUGGCGUUUUGGCCCGAAUUCCUCCUACUCCUGCAGCAGACAUCACGCAUCUCGACUGUAUGGAUGAAACGCGGCCAUCUUUAACAAACCAUUGCAAAUGAAUGUAAUACUCAUCCGUUUGUUGGCAAUGGCGCUGUUAAAUUAUGUGUUAUCUAAACGAUUCAUUUGUCUGCCAUCACUCUACAUAAAUGCUACAGCUGUGUAACUAACUCCCUGGCUCGGGCUACAUUAUGCUACUGCAAAAAUAACCUCAAAAUUUGAACCUCCAGCACCGUGUCCAACUGUACGAAAUAUCGCCAUGAAGGUCACACACGACUGGAAAGAUGUCCAACCAGUAUCCAUGCUGGUUUUGCUAUACCAUUUCAGCAGGCAUGCCGAAUGUGGUGCAGAACGGAGUCGGUAGAAUGUCAUGUGGGUCAUUUGGUGGCUGCCUCCAUUGCAAGGUCACGGUACGGCUAAAGCUCAUUUGGCAAAGGUCCAAUGAAAUAGGAAACGAAGAUAUGAAUGUGUGUACAUUUAUUCGAGUCGUACGUAUGACUAGCAAUAGUGAAGCACCCUCUGGUAAGGACGCAAAGAAUGGUAAACAUUCUGGUAAGGUAUAAAAUGCUUAGUAAACACUGUUUAGUGCAAACGCUGGUACAGAAAGAAAUGUAUCACCAAGGCAACGGAAUCCCUUUGUGCGAAUAAAUGUCAUCCAAACGAGCGGAAAAGCUCAAAUGAAGA